RNAcentral lists this ribosomal RNA (1149 nucleotides) under Pantoea agglomerans. RNAcentral's name for it is "bacterial SSU rRNA". It matches the Rfam family "Bacterial small subunit ribosomal RNA", at positions 46 to 1186 of the family's 1533-position model. The record is from RNAcentral. Lineage: Bacteria; Pseudomonadati; Pseudomonadota; Gammaproteobacteria; Enterobacterales; Erwiniaceae.
GCUAAACACAUGCAAGUCGAACGGUAGCACAGAGAGCUUGCUCUCGGGUGACGAGUGGCGGACGGGUGAGUAAUGUCUGGGAAACUGCCUGAUGGAGGGGGAUAACUACUGGAAACGGUAGCUAAUACCGCAUAACGUCGCAAGACCAAAGAGGGGGACCUUCGGGCCUCUUGCCAUCAGAUGUGCCCAGAUGGGAUUAGCUAGUAGGUGGGGUAACGGCUCACCUAGGCGACGAUCCCUAGCUGGUCUGAGAGGAUGACCAGCCACACUGGAACUGAGACACGGUCCAGACUCCUACGGGAGGCAGCAGUGGGGAAUAUUGCACAAUGGGCGCAAGCCUGAUGCAGCCAUGCCGCGUGUAUGAAGAAGGCCUUCGGGUUGUAAAGUACUUUCAGCGGGGAGGAAGGUGUUGUGGUUAAUAACCACAGCAAUUGACGUUACCCGCAGAAGAAGCACCGGCUAACUCCGUGCCAGCAGCCGCGGUAAUACGGAGGGUGCAAGCGUUAAUCGGAAUUACUGGGCGUAGAGCGCACGCAGGCGGUCUGUCAAGUCGGAUGUGAAAUCCCCGGGCUCAACCUGGGAACUGCAUUCGAAACUGGCAGGCUAGAGUCUUGUAGAGGGGGGUAGAAUUCCAGGUGUAGCGGUGAAAUGCGUACAGAUCUGGAGGAAUACCGGUGGCGAACGCGGCCCCCUGGACAAAGACUGACUCUCAGGUGCGAAAGCGUGUGGAGCAAACAGGAUUACAUACCCUGGUAGUCCACGCCGUAAACGAUGUCAACUUGGAGGUUGUGCCCUUGAUGCGUGGCUUCCGGAGCUAACGCGUUAAGUCGACCGCCUGGGGAGUACCGCCGCAGAGUUAAGACUCAUAUGAAUUGACGUGAGCCCGCACAAGCGGUGGAGCAUGUGGUUUAAUUCCAUACAACGCGAAGAACCUUACCUACUCUUGACAUCCCAAAGAACUUUACUGAGAUGGAUUUGCUGCCUUCGGAACUCUGAAAGAGGUGCUUCAUGGCUGUCAUCACCUCCUGUCGUGAAAAGUUAGUUACAUCCCCCAAGCAUGCCAACCCUAAUCCCUUUGUUGCCACCAGUGCUUGCCGGCAAUUGUAGAGAGACCCCCAUUGAUACUUCGAAAAGAGGUGGGAUGAAGUC